GACGAACGCUGACGGUGUGCUUUAGACAUGCAAGUCGAACGAGAAAGCCCUUCGGGUUAGUAAAGUAGGCGAACGGGUGAGUAACACGUGGGCAAUCUGCCCCUCCGCAGGGGGACAACCGGAGGAAACUCCGGCUAAUACCCCGUAAGUUCAAAGGGAGGCAUCUCUCUUCGAAGAAAGGUAGCUUCGGCCAUCCGGCGAGGGAUGAGCCCGCGGUGCAUUAGCCAGUUGGUGGGGUAACGGCCUACCAAGGCGACGAUGCAUAGCUGGUCUGAGAGGAUGAUCAGCCACACUGGGACUGAGACACGGCCCAGACUCCUACGGAAGGCAGCAGUCGGGAAUCUUGCGCAAUGGGCGAAAGCCUGACGCAGCAACACCGUGUGUGUGAGGAAGGCCCUC
This 399-nucleotide ribosomal RNA is filed under the name uncultured bacterium. RNAcentral describes it as "bacterial SSU rRNA". It matches the Rfam family "Bacterial small subunit ribosomal RNA", at positions 28 to 419 of the family's 1533-position model. The record is from RNAcentral.